GACGAACGCUGGCGGCGUGCCUAAUACAUGCAAGUAGAACGCACAGUUUAUACCGUAGCUUGCUACACCAUAAACUGUGAGUUGCGAACGGGUGAGUAACGCGUAGGUAACCUGCCUGGUAGCGGGGGAUAACUAUUGGAAACGAUAGCUAAUACCGCAUAAUAUUGAUUAUUGCAUGAUAAUUGAUUGAAAGAUGCUAUUGCAUCACUACCAGAUGGACCUGCGUUGUAUUAGCUAGUAGGUGAGGUAACGGCUCACCUAGGCGACGAUACAUAGCCGACCUGAGAGGGUGAUCGGCCACACUGGGACUGAGACACGGCCCAGACUCCUACGGGAGGCAGCAGUAGGGCAUCUUCGGCAAUAGACGAAAGUCUGACCGAGCAACGCCGCGUGAUUGAAGAAGGUUUUCGGAUCGUAAAGCUCUGUUGUAAGAGAAGAACGGGUGUGCGAGUUUAAAGUUCACACUGUGACGUUAUCUUACCAGAAAGGGACGGCUAACUACGUG
Molecule: ribosomal RNA, 505 nt
Filed under: uncultured bacterium
Lineage: Bacteria
Description: partial 16S ribosomal RNA
Rfam family: Bacterial small subunit ribosomal RNA
Source: RNAcentral